Long non-coding RNA from Stylophora pistillata, 179 nucleotides. The record is from RefSeq and is a predicted model, not a curated record. NCBI's taxonomy places the organism in Eukaryota, Metazoa, Cnidaria, Anthozoa, Scleractinia, Pocilloporidae.
GGCCUUGUUGUGAAGGUUAAGACUACUCAAACGACGUAGUUCCGCUUCUGCAAAGUUUGGAAAUGGGAAAUUAUUCAAGGCAGAAUGCAAGCGAGGGCUACUAUCAGAAGAAUUGUUUGCAUCUAACACGAUCAGAGGAGCAGUCCAGUCAUAACAGUCAACAGUGGUGGGUAUUCUGA